RNAcentral lists this ribosomal RNA (252 nucleotides) under uncultured bacterium. Its description in RNAcentral is "partial 16S ribosomal RNA". It matches the Rfam family "Bacterial small subunit ribosomal RNA", at positions 524 to 776 of the family's 1533-position model. The record is from RNAcentral.
UACGGAGGAUGCGAGCGUUAUCCGGAUUUAUUGGGUUUAAAGGGUGCGUAGGCGGAACAUUAAGUCAGCGGUAAAAUCGAGGGGCUCAACCCCUUUAAGCCGUUGAAACUGGUGAUCUUGAGUGGGCGAGAAGUAUGCGGAAUGCGUGGUGUAGCGGUGAAAUGCAUAGAUAUCACGCAGAACUCCGAUUGCGAAGGCAGCAUACCGGCGCCCGACUGACGCUGAGGCACGAAAGCGUGGGGAUCGAACAGG